UACAUGUGGGGCAAGCGUUGUUCGGAAUCACUGGGCAUAAAGGGUGCGUAGGCGGCUUGUUAAGUCAGGGGUGAAAUCCCACGGCCCAACCGUGGAACUGCCUUUGAAACUGGCGAGCUUGAGUGCGUGAGGGGUAACCGGAACGAGUCGUGUAGCGGUGAAAUGCGUAGAUAUGGCUCGGAAGGCCAAAGGCGAAGGCAGGUUACUGGUACGCAACUGACGCUGAGGCACGAAAGCGUGGGGAGCAAACAGG
RNAcentral lists this ribosomal RNA (253 nucleotides) under uncultured bacterium. RNAcentral's name for it is "partial 16S ribosomal RNA". It matches the Rfam family "Bacterial small subunit ribosomal RNA", at positions 524 to 776 of the family's 1533-position model. The record is from RNAcentral.